RNAcentral lists this long non-coding RNA (204 nucleotides) under Olea europaea (common olive). Its description in RNAcentral is "long non-coding RNA (OEUR_LNC015378)". Lineage: Eukaryota; Viridiplantae; Streptophyta; Magnoliopsida; Lamiales; Oleaceae. The record is from RNAcentral.
CUCCACCACAUUGGCCCUAAUCAUGAGUAUUUCCAUCUCCUUAUGAUAGUCCUCUACACUUUUCGACCCUUGAUAUAGACCUUGCAGUUUUUUAUGGAUCUCUCGAUAAUAGUGGCUAGGAACAAACCUCUUUCUCAUCAAUGACUUCAAUUCCUCCCAAGUGCUGAUUGGUCUUCCCCCACUCCUACAUUGUGAAGUAAUCAC